RNAcentral lists this ribosomal RNA (253 nucleotides) under uncultured bacterium. RNAcentral describes it as "partial 16S ribosomal RNA". It matches the Rfam family "Bacterial small subunit ribosomal RNA", at positions 524 to 776 of the family's 1533-position model. The record is from RNAcentral.
GACAGAGGGUGCAAACGUUGUUCGGAAUUACUGGGCGUAAAGCGCGUGUAGGCGGCUAUGCAAGUCGGAUGUGAAAGCCCUCGGCUCAACCGGGGAAGUGCACCCGAAACUGCAAAGCUAGAGUCUCGGAGAGGAUCGUGGAAUUCUCGGUGUAGAGGUGAAAUUCGUAGAUAUCGAGAGGAACACCGGUGUCGAAGGCGGCGAUCUGGACGAUGACUGACGCUGAGACGCGAAAGCGUGGGGAGCAAACAGG